CCCUUAGAUGUUCUGGGCCGCACGCGCGCUACACUGAUCAGUGCAACAAGCAUCCGUCCUUGGCCGACAGACCCGGGCAAUCUUUGAACGCUGAUCGUGAUGGGGAUAGACUUUUGCAAUUUUUGGUCUUCAACGAGGAAUUCCUAGUAAACGCAAGUCAUCAACUUGCAUUGAUUACGUCCCUGCCCUUUGUACACACCGCCCGUCGCACCUACCGAUUGAAUGGUCCGGUGAAGCCUCCGGAUUGGCGUGCACCCUCGGGUGCUGCCGAGAAGUUGGCUAAACCUUACCAUUUAGAGGAAGGUGAAGUCGUAACA
RNAcentral lists this ribosomal RNA (317 nucleotides) under uncultured eukaryote. Its description in RNAcentral is "partial 18S ribosomal RNA". It matches the Rfam family "Eukaryotic small subunit ribosomal RNA", at positions 1470 to 1796 of the family's 1831-position model. The record is from RNAcentral.